RNAcentral lists this small nuclear RNA (163 nucleotides) under Chinchilla lanigera (long-tailed chinchilla). RNAcentral's name for it is "U1 spliceosomal RNA (ENSCLAG00000018598.1)". It matches the Rfam family "U1 spliceosomal RNA". Rfam says of the family: U1 is a small nuclear RNA (snRNA) component of the spliceosome (involved in pre-mRNA splicing). Its 5' end forms complementary base pairs with the 5' splice junction, thus defining the 5' donor site of an intron. Lineage: Eukaryota; Metazoa; Chordata; Mammalia; Rodentia; Chinchillidae. The record is from Rfam by way of RNAcentral.
AUACUACCUGGCAGGGGAGAUACCAUGAUCACGAAAGUGGUUUUCCCAGGGCGAGUUUUCUGCAUUGCCCUCUGGAUGUGCUGACCCCUGCAAUUUGCCCAAAUGUGGGAAACUCGACUGCAUAAUUUGUGGUAGUGGGGAAGUACAUUCACGCUUUCCCCUG